GAUGAACGCUGACAGAAUGCUUAACACAUGCAAGUCGAUUCGAUUUACCUUCGGGUAUUGAGGAUGGCGGACGGGUGAGUAACGCGUAAGGAACUUGCCUCUUGGUCUGGGACAACUGUUGGAAACGACAGCUAAUACCGGAUAUUAUGAGAUUCUCGCAUGAGAAACUUAUGAAAGCUAUAUGCGCCAAGAGAGAGCCUUGCGUUCCAUUAGCUAGUUGGUGGGGUAACGGCCCACCAAGGCGACGAUGGAUAGCCGGCCUGAGAGGGUGAACGGCCACAAGGGGACCGAGACACGGCCCUUACUCCUACGGGAGGCAGCAGUGGGGAAUAUUGGACAAUGGACCAAAAGUCUGAUCCAGCAAUUCUGUGUGCACGAUGAAGGUCUUCGGAUUGUAAAGUGCUUUCAGUUGGGAAGAAGAAAGUGACGGUACCAACAGAAGAAGCGACGGCUAAAUACGUGCCAGCAGCCGCGGUAAUACGUAUGUCGCAAGCGUUAUCCGGAUUUAUUGGGCGUAAAGCGCGUCUAGGCGGAAAAAUAAGUCUGAUGUUAAAAUGCGGGGCUCAACUCCGUAUUGCGUUGGAAACUGUUUUUCUAGAGUACUGGAGAGGUGGGCGGAACUACNAGUGUAGAGGUGAAAUUCGUAGAUAUUUGUAGGAAUGCCGAUGGAGAANUCAGCUCACUGGACAGAUACUGACGCUAAA
RNAcentral lists this ribosomal RNA (704 nucleotides) under uncultured prokaryote. RNAcentral describes it as "bacterial SSU rRNA". It matches the Rfam family "Bacterial small subunit ribosomal RNA", at positions 28 to 750 of the family's 1533-position model. The record is from RNAcentral.